Molecule: ribosomal RNA, 460 nt
Filed under: uncultured bacterium
Lineage: Bacteria
Description: partial 16S ribosomal RNA
Rfam family: Bacterial small subunit ribosomal RNA
Source: RNAcentral
CCUACGGGUGGCAGCAGUGAGGAAUAUUGGUCAAUGGGCGCGAGCCUGCACCAGCCAAGUAGCGUGAAGGAUGACUGCCCUACGGGUUGUAAACUUCUUUUAUAAAGGAAUACAGUGCGGCACGUGUGCCUUUUUGUAUUUACUUUAUGAAUAAAGAUCGGCUCACUCCGUUCCAGCAGCCGCGGUAAUCCGGAGAGUCCGAGCGUUAACCUGAUUUAUUGGGUUUAAAUGGAGCGUAGAUGGUUUGUUAAGUCAGUUGUGAAAGUUUGGUGCUCAACCGUAAAAUUGCAAUUGAUACUGGCAGUCUGGAGUGCAGGUGAGGUAGGCGGAAUUCGUGGUGUAGCAGUGAAAUGCUUAGAUAUCACGAAGAACUCCGAUUGCGAAGGCAGCUUACUAAACUGCAACUGACAUUGAUGCGCGAAAGUGUGGGUAUCAAACAGGAUUAGAUACCCUUGUAGUC